Molecule: long non-coding RNA, 1606 nt
Organism: Chelonia mydas (Green sea turtle)
Lineage: Eukaryota; Metazoa; Chordata; Testudines; Cheloniidae
Exons: 2
Source: RefSeq, a predicted model, not a curated record
AUUGAAUCCAAUUCUGAUUUCAGCUUUCCUGUUUUCCAUAAUUUUAGUUUGAGCUUUCCAUUAUUUUGAUGCAACAAACUAUUACGUGGCUUCUUUGCAAACAGCUUGAUAGUAGAAAUCUGCAUCGUGUGUUAUAUGGCACUCAAGCCUUUCCCCUGCCACAGAUUUCCCCCCUUUACAGCUGCAAGAGGAAGAUGGCAUAAAUACAGUAAUUAAUGUACAGAAACAAACAAGUUCAGAAUGUGGCCAUCUGUCUGGAUUUUGACAAUUCUUAGCUAAUUUUUAAACAACUUUCUUUCGUAAGAUAUCCUAGUUAACAAAAGCAAACAACAAGAUGUGUAUCAGGUAAUUUGUAUGCAUUUUAGUCCCAUACUCACAUCUUUAAUUUAAAAAUUAAUUUUACAUGUAUUUGCUUUUCAAGACUUGCAUUUUCUAAAUUAUAAACAUUCAGUAUUUUAAUAUCACAAAUGAUUUAGUCACUGGAUGAAGCUUAUCACUUUCUCACAAUGUUAAACAUUUUCUAUCAAACACUGCAUCAAGGAAACAAAUUCCAUUUUAAAAAUUUCAAUUAAAAGAAAAGUACUAUGGCAAAGUUCCAGUACAUUUGGAUCUUGAAAUAAAUUUAAUUAUUAAAAAUUUAUGUGUUUCAGUUUUUCCUGGCCCUGUUAUCCAGUUUACAGAUAGACAUAUCUGGUCCCAUUUACAAUCCUCAUUUGCAAGAUUAUUUUUUCAAGAGUGUGUUUGUACAAGCAAAAUUUUAUUUGCUCCAUAUCCUUUAUAUGUAAAGUAGAAAUUUCAGCAUUUAAACUUAAUGAAGUAAAAUGCUCUACUUGAAAGGUGAAAGGCACAUAUCCAGUACUAUUACACUGAACUGAAAAAACAAGAUUUGUAAUUCCCAGUCAUCUGCUAUAUCAAAACAAUGCUAAAAAAAAAAAAAAUUGCUUCAACUGUAGCUUCCUCCUCCCCCAAUCUAUUACUUUGAAAGAGUACUGCCAAAAGUAUUUAAUGGGUAACUACUUUUAAACUACAGAUGUGUUACUAGUUUACUAAAUGAAGUUUCAUGUCUUGUAUGAGAAUACAAAUUCUAUUAAUUCUUUAAACAUGCUCAGAAUCCUAAAUAUUUUACUUUCAUCCAAUUAAAAACUUUUAUUGUUGUAAAAUUAGGAGAGAGUGAUCUAAACUGCCAUCUUCUGUAAUGUAGUCUGUAUAACUUUAACAGUAAAAAGAAAGGUAUGUUUGUAGCCAUGUGCUGAUUACACUUUAAAAAAGGGACUGCCCACGUAUCUAAAACAUCGGUGGUCUUAAUUCUACAGCAGAAAAUAAGGUGCUUUAAACAAUACAUAGAAUCAACAGUCUUUGUGCUAUCAUAUUCUGCAUUAAGAUUACUCCCAAGAAGCUAUUUUCAGAUAAAGCAAUUCUAUUAUAAAAUGUUCAUGGGACCAGACUUCUACAUUGUCCAAUUAUACAAUAUGUAAAAAUCAGUUACUGGGUGCUCUGUUUUCAGUUACUCUUUUUUCAGCUGUGAACAUCUAUGCAGUUACUGUGAAUGAUUUAUGUGUUGUUUUUUUAAUAAAAAACUACUUUCGUAAGAGAAAAAACUUUCAAA